GCUCCCACUUUUUAUGGCUGAUUGCAUGAUCUUAAAGCCUUUGAUUUCAGAUAACAAAAUCCAGAAUGAUAGAAGAUACCUAAUUGUACAUUGCAAGUAUAUAUACCUACUUUGUAUUUAAAUAUUUUAUUCCCAUUAUAGACAUUUUCUAAGUUUGCAUUUAAAUUAAUAUGCUAUAAUUAAAAAGCCUUCCAGUUUGGAUCUCUUUUAGAAUAAGGUACAAUAUACAUAUGUUAUAAAUAUUGUUACAUUGUCUAAUACAUCAAAUCACUAUUAAACAUUUUGUUUACUAUUUUUCAAGCUUUUUGUGAUUUCUUUUAAAAGUAUCUGUUAAAGAACACUGUCAAAAUGAGUCUGACAUAAAGUUAAUAUUUGUAUUUAAAUGUUUUAGAAUAUAAAAGCACAAGUAGAGAUAGAGGAGUAUAAGAAUUGCUUUUGAUGGUAAAUGAAGGAAGGAUGAAAGAAUUAGAAAUCGUUUUAACAUUUGUUUGAACAUGGUAAGAACCCUUAAUUUGAGAUCUACCCUCUUAACAAAUUUUUUAAGUGCACAGUACAGUAUUGUUAACUGUAGGCACAUUGUUGUGUAGUAAAUCUCUAGAAUUUCUUAAUCUUGUAUAACUGAAACUUUAUUUCUAUUGCACAGUAAUUUCCCAUUUCUCCCUUACCCCCAGCCCCUGGCAACCAUCCUUGUAUUCUCUGUUUCUAUGAGUAUUUGACCAAGUUUAGAUAUCACAUGUAAGUGGAAUCAUGCAGUUUUUGUCUUUCUGGGAUUGGCUUAUUUUACCUAACAGAAUGUCCCCAGGUUCAUCCAAGUUAUCAUAUAUGGCAGGAUUUCCUUACUUAACACAGUCUUACUUCCUUAAAAAAGUCUGGAUAAUAUUUCAUUGCAGUAUGUGCCACAUUUUCUAUAUCCAUUCAUCCAUCUAUAGACAUUCAGGUUGUUUUCCUAUCUUAGGAAUUGUACUGCAGUGAACAGGGGAAUGGAGAUAUCUCUUUGAGAUGAUUUCGUUUCUUUUGGAUAUAUACCCAGAAGUGAGAUUUCUGGAUCAGAUUGUACUUCUAUUUUUAAUUUUUUGAGGAAUCUUUGUACUGUUUUCCAUUGCAGCUGUAUCAUUAUAUGUUUCUACCAACACUGUACCAGUGUUUCAAUUUCUGUACAUCCUAUGAGCACUUGUUAUCAUUUGUUCUUUUGAUAGUAACCAUCCUAAUAGGUAUGAGGUAAUAUCUCAUUGUGGUUUUGAUUUGCAUUUCCCCAACAAUUAGUGAUGUUGCACAUCUGUACUUAUUGACUAUUUGUAUGCCUUCUUUUUGAGAAAUGUUUAUGCAAGUCCUAGGCCCACUUUUUAAUCUGGUUAUUUGUUUUUUUGCUAUGGAAUUGUAGGAAUUCCUUGUAUAUCUUGGAUAUUAUCCCCUUAUCAAAUAUGUGGUUUAAAGAUUUAAAACUAAGACGUGAAUCUAUAAAACUCCAAGAAGAUAAUUUAGGGGGAAAGCAUCAUGACAUCUGUCCAGGCAGUGAUUUCUUGAAUAUGACAGCAAAGCAUAAGCAACAAACGCAAUAAUAGAGAAAUGGGACUACAUCAAACUAAAAAGUUUAUGCACAGUAAGGGAAACAAUAAACAGAGUGAAAACACAACAAACCGAUUGGGAGAAAAUAUUUGUAAAGGUUUUAGAAUGAUCAGUUUUAUACUACAUUAUCGAAAACACUUAGUGCCAGUUGUAUUUCAAUUUUAGACUUUUCAAACCUUUGAAAAUAAUAUGGUGCCUAUUAUUUUAGUAUAUCUGUAGAAUCCAAGGGGACUUUCUUAACCAAACACAUUAAUCUUAGCAAAUAUUCACACUAAGUAGGAUAAAGGACUAUAAAUAGUUUAAUAUCAGUUUAGGUUAGGUUUCCCUCAAGUGAAUUGUGAAAUAUUUUAAACAUUUUCAGAGCUUUUGAAAUUUCAGAAUUUUCAUAAGGGAUUAUAAACCUAUAGUUUGAAAUACUUAAAAUAAUGAUUCUUAAGUAAAUUAAAAAUAAUUUAUUAAAUGUUAACCUCGCAAAUAAAAGAGAAAAAUGAUCUGGUACUUAAUUUUUAUCUUUAAAACUAAAAUGCAUCUUUAAUGAGUGGCUCUCUGUCCUUUUUAUCUUGUGAAGUUUUUUUAUUUAAAUUUUUUAUGAGACCACUUAAGUAUAUUAAUUAGAUUUUAUUAUUACUCCCACUUAGUAGGGUGUAAUAUAAGGGUAGAACUUAGAAUAAGAAGAUAUUGAAAGCACAUGGUAGAUAAUUGUAAAUUUCUUGAUUGAUGAAGCUUAGAAGUUAGAAAGGUUUUCUUUGCGAAUAUUUACUUUUAGUCUUUAGAUCAAGAUAAAUGUUCUUUUUUCUAGCUUAUUGUUAGAUUGUUAUGUAUUUGUUAACAGCUUUAAAUAAUUUUUGAAAUUUCAAAGUUGCUUGUGCCUUAAGAAAUACCAUGAGUUCUAAGGAUUUAGAGAUCUUUUCUACUUAAAAUUAUUGAUUUUCACUUGAAAGAUAAAACUGUAUAUUUUCUUUUCUUCCCUAUUUGCUAGCACACAAUACCAUUUUUAUUAAACAGCUGAAGUCCUUCUAUAAGAGAAAACACAAUUUCUCGUAUAUAAUACCUAACAACAUAGACAUAAAAAAAUGUUGGUGAAUGAAAGUACUGUACUAGAAAUGUGCUUAGUUAAGAGUUCCAUUCUUCACUGAAUCACCCAGUAUUUUAAUACAGAACCCAAAUGUUAAAGCAUGAAAACAUUAUACAUAUAUAUAGUAUAUAUACAUGAUAUACAUAUAUUAUAGUGUCUAUUACUGUAUGUUGUAUAGUAUCCAUUAUAUACUAUAGUCUAUGAUCUAGUAUCCAUUUACUAUAAAAUAUGCCUAAUACCAUAUAACAGAAUGUCCUAAAUUGCCCAAUGAUAGUUCAUUAGAAUGCAAAAAAAAAAAAAAAUGUUUUUUUUGAAAUUAGCAUCAGUGUAUGAAAAGACUCUCAGAAAACUAAGAAUAAAAGGAAAUUCUCCUAACUUAAUAAAGUCUGUAUACCCAAAGUCUGUAGCAAAAAUUAUAUUGAGACAUUUUGAACACAAACCAAGUAAGAUUGAAAGUGAAAGAAAAAAUUCACUAUUUGCAUAUGAUACAGUCAUCUAUGUAAAACCCAAAACCCAUCAGCAGACUAUUAGAACUGAGAAAAUUCAGCAAGAUUCUUUAAGAUUAAUUUGUAAAAAUUAAUGUGUUUUUUAUACCCAGAGGUCAGCAAUCUAUUUAAUAAAGAACUAGAUAUUUUAGCUUGUGAGCCAUAUGGUCUCUGACUUAACUAUAACUCUGCCAGUAGAGCUUGAAAGCAGCCAUAGACAUUAUGUCAACAAACGGUUAUGGCUGUAUUCCAGUAAAACUUUAUUUACAGAAAAAUGUGGCAAACUGGAGUUAGCUUGUGAGCCAUAGGUUCCUGACCCCUGCAAAUAUCAUUAGUAUAUACUCCAUAAGUAACCCAAUCAGAAAAUAGUAUAACAAAAAUUAACCUAAUUAGGAAUGCAUAAAACCUUCAUGGUAAAUAACUAACCUAUUAGAAGACAAAGGAUUAUCAUGUACUGUGUGUUUUAAUCUGAUGAUACCUGUUUCUUGAAAUCUAUUCUGUCACUGACUCCUGUUAAAAAUUCUAUCCUGAGUUUUGUUUUGUUUUGUUUUGUUUUGUUUUUUUUGAGAAACUUCACAAACUCAUUCUAAAAUUAACAUAUCCCAGUAAAGGUCCAGGAUUAGCUAAGUCACUUUUGACAAAGAAGAGGAAGGAAGCUCUGAGCCUACUACAUAGUGAGAAUUACUACAAAGCCAUAAUAAUGAAAAUAGUAUGAUGCUAACAAAAGAAAGGCAAAUACACUGGAAUAAAUUAAUGAGCUCAAAAAAAAACGCUCACGUAAAUAUGAGAACUUGGUAAGUGGCACCACUAGGCAAUGAGAAACAGGUUGCUUAAAGCAGGUAGAUGCUUAGAUUUUAUUAGGAAAACUAGCUGUUUGGAGAAAAACAGGAUCACCAGCUUACACAUUAUUUAUAAAGACCAACUCCAGAAGGAAUACUCAAAUAUGAAAUGUAAAACUUUAAAGCUAAUAAGAAAUUUCAGGAAAUAUCUAUAUUUUAAGAAUCAGAGAACAUAAUGUGAAAAUUAGUGGGUUUGAUUACAUCAAAAUUAAGUAUUUCUGUUAAAGGAACCAUAAAUGAAAGUAAAAAGUCAAGUGUCAGUUUUUUUAAUAUCUAAAACCUACAUGAGAAUAAUACCUUAAUGUACAAAGAACUUUUAUAAAUUAACAGAAACAAAGCAAAAAUCUUUUAAAAAAUAACUGAAAGAUAUGAAUAGUUUAAAGAAGGGGAAGCUCCAUUGCUGACAGGCAGAUGAAGAGAUACACAAACUCACUUGUAAUCAGAAAGCUUGACGCACGAGGUACAACCUAACAGCCACCAAAAUGACAAAAAUGUAAAAGAUAGCUAUUACAGAGUUUUGAAGGGUUGUAGGAGAAGCGUUAUGAACCAGUGGUGGGAGUGUUCACUAGAACUGCCAUUCUAUAAACCAGUCGGUGUCACUGAAAUCAGGAAUUGUUUAAUCCCUCUGACCCAGCACUCAGGGGAAUUUUUAUGCAGGUCCCUGAAGAUACAAGCUGUGUAGCUGCGUUGUUGCUGGUAGUGGGGAUUUGGAGGCAGCCUAGCUAAAACCAGUGAUGGUAUGCUGUGGAAUACCAGAGCGGCAGGUAGAAGUACACAAUGACAAGAUCUUUAAAACUGGGUAAGUUUUAAAAUAAAUAUACAGUUGAGAGAAAAGAAAAAACAAAAUGAGAUUUUAAUUAAGUACCAUUUACAUAAAUUUAAAACAAAGCAGAACAUAUUACAUAAAAUUAUAAUAUUUAAGAGCAUAGAGAAAGCACCUAGUAUAGAGGAAAAUAGGAGUACAGAUUAGGAAGAAAAAAGAUGAAGGAAUUACCACUUCUUUUAUAUGUAUAAGUAAAGUGAGGAUGCACAUUGUUUUUUCUGGGCAAAUGCCAGCUUUGAAAAGUGGAAUUCUUUGUGUUCAUUGAAGUCACAUUAUAAGCACAUAUAACUUAAACAAAUUCAGCUCCAGCAGAGAGCCUAUAAUCUUUAGGCCCUCAAGAGAAAUUUCAGCAUAUUAAUGUGUAGAACAUUCUAUUGCCAUUAUUAUCUGGCAGGAGACAACUCCUAGUCCUCAAGAUGGUGUGAAGAUGCUAGUUCUAAUAAACAUCACUAACCUGGAUUUUUCUGGUGUUCAUAUUGCUUACCACAUAACCGGUUCCUACAUAGAGCAUCAAAAGUCGAGGGGAAAACAUUAAAGUUGUAAUAGGGUGAUAGAAGGAAGAAUCAUCUGUUAAAUUUGUUAAAAUAUGGUUUCCUAGGCCCCAUCCUCAGAAUUUCUGAUUUGGUAGAGCUGGGUGGAGCUCCUGAAUUUAACAUUUCUAAUUAGCUCACAGGUGAUUCUAAUGCUGUUUGUCUAAGGAUCACACUUUGAGAUAUUCUGUAGGUAAUGUUUCUUAAUAUUUACUGUGUGGGACACCAUAGGUGGCAGCUUCCAAGGUCUUCACCCCGAUAAGCAGAAGAUAAAUCUUUAUGGUGGGCCCAGGAAUCUUCAUUUAGGUGCUGCUUAUGAACAAGAAAAUACCAUUAUAGUAAGCAUAUGUUUGUUGAGAGAAAGCAUGUUAGUAUCUAAUUGUCUGACUUUACUACACCACUGAAAACAGGAACUAAAGUGCUCUGAAUGUCCUAAAAUUGUCCUGAGCCCAUUUUUAUCAUAAUUGAGCCUGUAUAUCCUCAGCUGAAGCUAAAUUUUUAUGCUACUUGAUUGAGAAGAAAUGCUAAAUAUUAAGAAAUGUUAAGGGUAAAAUAUAAUUUUGUUUAAAAUAUGUAGUCCUGCAGUUAUAAAAAUGCAUAUACCCUAAAAUAACCCAAAAUCCAUGUUAGAAAUCUAAACCUACCUAAAAAAUACUCAAGAGUUUUCCAUCUGGAUUUUUCUGCUAGAUACCAGCAUGUGAUUUGAAAUUUUCAACUUCAUAUUUAUGUUAUAUUUUAAAAACUAAGUGCUUAGUUUUUUCAGAACUUGCACUUCUCAUCUAGUUUUGCUGAUUUCUUACAACCUCUAAAAACACAAUCUUUUCUAAUAAUACCUUAGAGAAGUUUUAACCCAAGUUUUCUGUUCUGUUAAAUUUGACCAUUUAUUUUCUAAAGAUGUUGACAUCAGGUACAUAGUGUAAUUAUUCAGGUGAAGAUAUAUAGUUAGUUAAAUCUUGUAUUUCUAAAAAAUUAUUUUACAGUAGAUAAAUUGUAAAAGUAUAGAAGUUCCUAAAAAGAAGAGAAACCUGACCAACAGAUGAUCCCUCACUUUCCAGUUUGUUUAAACAUAAUACUUUUUUCCUUAGCCAUAGCUUCUGAAGUACAACUUUAUUAAAUUUUGAAUUCAUUCAAAAAUUAUGCAAAUUUUUUCUGUAUGGUUUUAUUUAGGUAUAGUUAUUUCAAAGAAUGGUUUUGAGAUUAUUAGUAUUAUAGAAAUGAAAAGAUCCAAAUUUUACAGUUUUACUGAAAUAAAAUUCUUGUGAGAGCAGCCCAAGAAACUGAUUUAAUUCAGGUAUUUUCAGUAAUUGCUCACAAAUAUUGAUAAAAGGCAUGUUGAUUAAGUAUCGGGUGAAUAAAAGUUAAGUGUUAUUGAUGAUUGUGAAAGCCAGUUUUCAUGGACUAAGAAAACAUCCAGAGAAAGAAUCCAAAAUCAACUAGAUAAUGCAUGAAAGGCCAAAAAUACUCAAAUGGAAAACUAAGUUAGUUCUCACUCAUACAUUGUCGUUCGGCCAUCUGUUUUGUUCUAAUUAACAAAUUCCAAAUUGGUGACCAAAACACUAAGUAUAAACUUAAUCUGGUGCCAUAUUAGUUGUUUUUUUUUUUUACAGCACUCUGUCCCUGAGUGCUCUGCUUGGCGAGAGGGAGCAUUUUAUAAAUAAAACUAUUGCAUACUACUUUUUGCCCAAGAUAAAUAAUAAAAACACCUACGUGACUCUGCAGUAUUGUUUUUGUUUUUGUACACUAUCGGUUUCAAAUCUGUAUUCGUUUAAAUACAUUCAAAAAAUGCAUAAUUCUUUAGAACUUUUUAGAGAAUGAUUAAGCCCAAUUUGCUUAAUAAUAGAACAUUAACUGUAUAAAUGGAUUCAGAAAUGGUGCAUAGACCUAUUUGACUGAAUAUUAUUAAAAUAAAUAUUAGGAAACUCUUACCACGUAAAGUAUUGGUUUCAUUUUAACAAAUUGUACUGAGACUUUUUAAGUAUUUGUACAUGAUAGGUUCUGCUUAUUUGAAACAGAUUUGGUUAUUACAGUUCUGUUUGGGUACUAAACAAGCCAUAGUUAUUAGCAUUCACAGAAAAUGCACCCUCAAAGUUUCUAUGAAAGUAUACAAACUUGUUACCAAUCUUAACCUUGUUCAAACACAAAGUAGGGGGUUGAAUGAUUUGAGUUUGUGGGAGUUGAGAGAAUGGCUCAUAAGCCAGCUUUCAAUUCCUUGUCCAUUCAUUUAUAUUCACAUAUUUUAAAUUAAUAAUGUGUCUUCUAUUUAAAAUGUAAGCUCUGAGCCAGAAAUCUAGGGUAGUAUUCCAAAAUCUGCAGUUUGUUGUCAAUUUUUAAGACGUUUUGAAUUUUUGUAAGUUUUCUUGCAUGCUUUAUAUCAUUUUAUUUUGUUCCUAUUUUGUUCUCCUUCAGUAAGAGACAUACAGUGACUUUUUCCAAGACUUUAAGUUGAGAUAAUGGAACAGCCAAACAAAACUGCCUAGUAUGCAGUUAAAGAUCAGGAACCAAAGCUUGGAGAGUAAUAACUGCAGGUGCAGAGUUCUAUUCCUGGAAGUGAGAAAUACAAGCAUAUAUGAAUUAUCUAAUAAAAAAUGUAAAGAACUAAAUACUGAAUUUUAAAGGAUGUCCUUAAGAAAUGAUAUAAAACAAAAAGAUUAAAUAGAGUAAUCCUGAACAUUUAGGAAAACUGGGAACAUAUUAUAUCGAAGAGAACAAGGAGAAACACUUUCAGAAGGUAGCGAAUGGUCAGCAUUGCUAAGUGAUGCAGAGACUGGGGAGAGGGAUGAGGAACAAAAGAGAUAUUCUGUGUAUUUGACAAGUGGAAACAGUAUGUUGGGAAUGAGAAAUAGAUGAUAGGGAAAGAGGAAUUGAAUAGUCAGAAAAUGGAACAGCCUGUAUAGAUCAAAUCACUCACCAUGAAAUGUACUGACAGAAGAAAGAUAACUAAGAGGGUAAAUUGGUUGGAAAGGCAGGGUUCCAAGAGAAACUAUAUAUAAAUCUUUUUGUUAUUUGAAUAUAUACAUCUUUCUUAGGUAUUUGUCACCUAAAGAUAGGCAUCAUAAUGAUGUUAGAAUGAAGUUCCUGUGUGCUGCUGGUUAUCAAUAAGCAGCUUUUUUCUGGUUAUUUUAGAUGUCCAAAUUCUAAAUUCUUUUUGGAAAUGCUUGUGCCUACACAUAAAUACACUCCUCAUAACUGUACUUUGAGGUUUCUCAUUUUAAUAAAACACCCAUUAAGACCUUGAGUGUAUAUAUACACUCCUUUGACAUGCUGAAAAUGCACAUGGACUAAAUAAAUAUUUCCUUCCUCUAAACACUGUACCAGCUUCCUGUUCUGGAAAAAUAAUAUAUAAUCUAGUACCAAUACCAUGUCUCCCAAGUUUUGCCAAACAGCAUGGUCACAGUCAAGUUUAUGUUAACUAGUGUCCAGAUAUUUAUUUAUUUAAAUUUUUAAAAGUUUUAUUUAUUUAUUUUGAGAGAGAGACAGCAUGAGUAAGGGAGGGGUAGAUAGAGGGAGAGAAUCCCCUCCAUGCUGCCAGGGCAGAGCUUGGCAUGAGGCUGGAACUCAGGAACCCUGAGAUCGUGACCUGAACAGAAAUUAAGAGUCCAUCGUUCACCCAACUGAGCUACCUGGGCGCCCCCUAGUGUCCAGUUAUUUAAAAGCCAUUAAUUGAAGUUAGAAAAUUUAGUGUAUUUCAUGCAUAAAUGAAUAUUAAGUUUACAGUUCUCGUAUAGAUGCUUAAUAUUCACAGGUACUCACAUAUAAUUAUUGGAUAUAUUCUUUUUUGUUCCCUGGUUCCAAAAAAGAUUUGAGCAAUUUAUGGUAACAUGUAUAAGUCAGUGUUAACUAUAUGAAUAGAUACAGAAAUCACUCAAAUGUAAACUAAACUUAGUCACAGUAAGGUGAAGCCAGAGGAGAAGUUAGCUGGUGGGAGCAAGUAAGGGCUUUUGAAGUUAUCAAAAUUGAUCUGCAAAUAUAUGGACUUGAUUUGGGUCCCGAUUCAAACUAACCAACUAGGGAGAAAAAAGGGAACAUGAACUGACUGUUUAAUUGGGACUGGCACUGGUAUAGUAUCUCUUGUGGGUUAGGGAUCUAUACUAUAAAUUUUUGUUUGUUUUAAGUUUGUAUUUAAAUUACAGUUAUCAUAUAGUGUAAUAUUAGCUUCAGGAGUAGAAUUUAGAGAUUGAUCACUUACAUAGAACACCCAGUGCUCAUCUCAACAAGUGCCCUCCUUGAUAUCCAUCACUGCCCACCUCUCCUCCAGCAACCCUCAGUUUGUUCUCUAUAGUUCUGUGUAGUUAAGAGUUUGUUUUAUGGUUUGCCUCUCUUUUUUUCCCCUUAUGUUCAUCUGUUUUGUUUCUUAAAUUCCACAUAUGAGUGAAAUCAUAUAGUAUUUGUCUUUCUGUGACUUUCUUUGUUUCGCAUAAAACACUCUAGCUCCAUUCAUGUUGUUAGAAAUGGCACGCUUUCGUUCUUCUUUAUUGCUGAGUAAUAUUCCAUUAUAUAUAUACAGGUGAAAUUAUAAAUGUCUGGAAUUUGCUUUAAAAUAGUCCAGCAAAAACAUGGGGAAAGGAGGCUGAGAGGAUACAGAUAAAAGUGGCAGAAUGUUAAUUUUUGAAGCUAAGAUCUGAUACUGGGCACAUGAGGACUUGCAUAUAUUUGGAAGUUUCUAUAAUAAGUUGAAAAAAAUGGGUUGCAGUUUGGGUACUGGGAUUCAUAAUGACUAAAGGAAAGUAACUGUAAUUUUAUUUUUAAGUGGAAUGUUUUAUGUUGUAAGUACCAUUGGUAGUCAAAAUAAGGAACAAAAAUAAAGUCAUGAGAACCAAUUUAUACAUAAAUUCCCUUAAACUUUCUUCCAUUUAUCUUUAAAUAUCUAAUACCCUGCCUGUCAUAGGAGAGGCACACAGCAAAUGCUUGUUGAAUUGAAUUAAUCUGUAUCUUGCAACAGUAAAAGUGUUUAAUUUUUAGAGAGAUUUAAACUUUUCUUUUUCUCCAAGAACUUAUCUUUAGAAAUGGGGAGGGGUGCCUGGGUGGCUCAGUUGGGUUAAGCAGCCGACUUCAGCUCAGGUCAUGAUCUCACGAAUCAUGAGUUUGAGCCCCGCGUCGGGCUCUCUGCUGACAGCUUGGAGCCUGGAGCCUGCUUCGGAUUCUGUGUCUGCCUCUUUCUCUGCCCCUCCCCUGCUGAUGCUCUAUCCCUCAAAAAUAAAUAAACACU
Long non-coding RNA from Neofelis nebulosa (Clouded leopard), 10524 nucleotides. RefSeq lists it as uncharacterized. NCBI's taxonomy places the organism in Eukaryota, Metazoa, Chordata, Mammalia, Carnivora, Felidae. The transcript is spliced from 2 exons. The record is from RefSeq and is a predicted model, not a curated record.